UAGAGGGACACUGCACAAGGAAGGGGCUUUUCUGGUUCCAGCUCUGUUCUUAGAAAACACUGAGCUGCUUCCUUGCCAACCAGCAGCUCCCUUGGUAGGGGCAUGCAGAAGACCUGAUGACACAAACCCUCCAAAGAGUUUCACCCUCACCAUAACAGGUGGCUUCCUGCUCGGCAGCCCAUCCUGCAUCACUUCAGUGGACUUCUCUGACAUCUACUAGACCACAUUAAAUGAAUCACAGCCUUGAAACUGAACUGGAAGGACUUCCUUCAAGAUUUUUAUCUAAUUCCUGUUGGACAGUGUAAAAUGCCACUUCUUCCAGGGUUGUCUGCAUAUCAUCAAAAGGGAAAUAGUACUCAUCGAAGAUGUGCCUUUGCUAGGAACUAGGACAAGGGUGGUCUUUAUAAAUUCAUGAAGAGAAGGAGCCAGCAUAUGAACUUGCUGCCUAUCUUUAGCAAGGAGAUGCAAAUGACAUCCACACACCUCUUCUGCUGUAUACCUGGAUGAAAGCAAGGCUAGCUGUGUGUCCUAUGGCACCAAGGACUGAAAGAUUGUAAGAAGUAAGAGUCCAUCAUAGAGGCCAAGCCAAAUACAGCUAUGUUUGCAAGCAUAAGAUGGAUAGAUGUGGUAAACCACAAGAAG
Pan troglodytes (chimpanzee) is the source of this 642-nucleotide long non-coding RNA. RefSeq lists it as uncharacterized. The transcript is spliced from 5 exons. NCBI's taxonomy places the organism in Eukaryota, Metazoa, Chordata, Mammalia, Primates, Hominidae. The record is from RefSeq and is a predicted model, not a curated record.